GCUGGGCGCGGUGGCGGGCACCUGUAGUCCCAGCUACUCAGGAGGCUGAGGCGGGAGAAUGGCGUGAACCCGGGAGGCGAGGCUUGCAGUGCAGUGAGCCGAGAUUGCGCCACUGCACUCCAGCCUGGGUGACAGAGGAGACUCNNNNNNNNNNNNNUUUUUUUUUGAGACGGAGUCUCCUCUGUCGCCCAGGCUGGAGUGCAGUGGCGCAAUCUCGGCUCACUGCACUGCAAGCCUCGCCUCCCGGGUUCACGACAUUCUCCUGCCUCAG
Molecule: signal recognition particle RNA, 271 nt
Filed under: Chlorocebus sabaeus (green monkey)
Lineage: Eukaryota; Metazoa; Chordata; Mammalia; Primates; Cercopithecidae
Description: Metazoan signal recognition particle RNA
Rfam family: Metazoan signal recognition particle RNA
About the family: The signal recognition particle (SRP) is a universally conserved ribonucleoprotein. It is involved in the co-translational targeting of proteins to membranes. The eukaryotic SRP consists of a 300-nucleotide 7S RNA and six proteins: SRPs 72, 68, 54, 19, 14, and 9.
Source: Rfam by way of RNAcentral